This 1007-nucleotide ribosomal RNA is filed under the name Gamsomyces stilboideus. Its description in RNAcentral is "SSU rRNA". It matches the Rfam family "Eukaryotic small subunit ribosomal RNA", at positions 87 to 1103 of the family's 1831-position model. The record is from RNAcentral. Lineage: Eukaryota; Fungi; Ascomycota; Eurotiomycetes; Sclerococcales.
CUGCGAAUGGCUCAUUAAAUCAGUUAUAAUUUAUUUGAUAGUACCUUUACACAUGGAUAACUGUGGUAAUUCUAGAGCUAAUACAUGCUAAAAACCCCGACUUCGGAAGGGGUGUAUUUAUUAGAUUAAAAACCAAUGCCCUUCGGGGCUCCUUGGUGAUUCAUGAUAACUUAACGAAUCGCAUGGCCUUGCGCCGGCGAUGGUUCAUUCAAAUUUCUGCCCUAUCAACUUUCGAUGGUAAGAUAGAGGCUUACCAUGGUGUUGACGGGUAACGGGGAAUUAGGGUUCGAUUCCGGAGAGGGAGCCUGAGAAACGGCUACCACAUCCAAGGAAGGCAGCAGGCGCGCAAAUUACCCAAUCCCAAUCCGGGGAGGUAGUGACGAUAAAUACUGAUGCAGAGCUCUUUUGGGUUUUGCAAUUGGAAUGAGUACAAUCUAAAUCCCUUAACGAGGAACAAUUGGAGGGCAAGUCUGGUGCCAGCAGCCGCGGUAAUUCCAGCUCCAAUAGCGUAUAUUAAAGUUGUUGCGGUUAAAAAGCUCGUAGUUGAACCUUGGGUUUGGCUGGCCGGUCCGCCUCACCGCGUGUACUGGUCCGGCCGAACCUUUCCUUCUGGGGAAUCUCAUGCCCUUCACUGGGUGUGUUGGGGAACCAGGACUUUUACUUUGAAAAAAUUAGAGUGUUCAAAGCAGGCCUAUGCUCGAAUACAUUAGCAUGGAAUAAUAGAAUAGGACGGCAGUUCUAUUUUGUUGGUUUCUAGGAUCGCCGUAAUGAUUAAUAGGGAUAGUCGGGGGCAUCAGUAUUGAAUUGUCAGAGGUGAAAUUCUUGGAUUUAUUCAAGACUAACUACUGCGAAAGCAUUUGCCAAGGAUGUUUUCAUUAAUCAGUGAACGAAAGUUAGGGGAUCGAAGACGAUCAGAUACCGUCGUAGUCUUAACCAUAAACUAUGCCAACUAGCGAUCGGAUGGUGUUUUAUUUUUGACCCAUUCGGCAGCUUGUGAGAAAUCAAAG